UACGGAGGAUGCAAGCGUUAUCCGGAAUGAUUGGGCGUAAAGCGUCCGCAGGUGGUUAUACAAGUCUGCUGUCAAAGCGCAAGGCUCAACCUUGUAAAGGCAGUGGAAACUGUGUGACUAGAGAGUGAUAGGGGCAGAGGGAAUUCCCAGUGUAGCGGUGAAAUGCGUAGAGAUUGGGAAGAACACCGGUGGCGAAAGCGCUCUGCUGGGUCAUAUCUGACACUGAGGGACGAAAGCUAGGGGAGCGAAA
This 250-nucleotide ribosomal RNA is filed under the name uncultured bacterium. RNAcentral's name for it is "partial 16S ribosomal RNA". It matches the Rfam family "Bacterial small subunit ribosomal RNA", at positions 524 to 773 of the family's 1533-position model. The record is from RNAcentral.